RNAcentral lists this long non-coding RNA (299 nucleotides) under Carica papaya (papaya). Its description in RNAcentral is "long non-coding RNA (CPAP_LNC010490)". Lineage: Eukaryota; Viridiplantae; Streptophyta; Magnoliopsida; Brassicales; Caricaceae. The record is from RNAcentral.
AUACGUAAAGCCUUUUUGUUUAGCAAACAUGAAAAUUUGAUCAUCGCUGGAAGUCAUGGAUGAAGACUAUAUAUGUUUUUCUGGUGUCAUGCAGCAUAUUAUCAAAUAGAAGUAAGGGAAUUAUAUUUAUACCCAUCUCCUUGCUUGUCUUACAUGCUACAUCUUAUUUUUUUAUAUACAAUAUUUUAUUUUGUGAUAUCUUACUCAUAUAUUAAAUUAAACUAAGUAAUAUUUUUUUAUGAUUAAAAUUCAUUUACUUUCUUCAAUCUGUGUUGUAUUAUUAAUGGCUUGAAUUGAAU